Molecule: ribosomal RNA, 235 nt
Filed under: uncultured Lactobacillus sp.
Lineage: Bacteria; Bacillati; Bacillota; Bacilli; Lactobacillales; Lactobacillaceae
Description: partial 16S ribosomal RNA
Rfam family: Bacterial small subunit ribosomal RNA
Source: RNAcentral
UGCCCAAGAGAUCGGGAUAACACCUGGAAACAGAUGCUAAUACCGGAUAACAACAGAUGAUGCCUAUCAACUGUUUAAAAGAUGGUUCUGCUAUCACUCUUGGAUGGACCUGCGGUGCAUUAGCUAGUUGGUAGGGUAACGGCCUACCAAGGCGAUGAUGCAUAGCCGAGUUGAGAGACUGAUCGGCCACAUUGGGACUGAUACACGGCCCAAACUCCUACGGGAGGCAGCAGUC